Cyprinodon tularosa is the source of this 219-nucleotide long non-coding RNA. RefSeq lists it as uncharacterized. Lineage: Eukaryota; Metazoa; Chordata; Actinopteri; Cyprinodontiformes; Cyprinodontidae. The transcript is spliced from 2 exons. The record is from RefSeq and is a predicted model, not a curated record.
ACUCCAACCAAGGACUGUCACCCGAAAGUCAGAAGCUAGACGCUGCUGCUGCUGAGCACUCUGCUGAACCAACAGUCUCUGGACCCAACCGAUUCCCCCUCUCAGAAAGGAAAGCCUGGACCUCUUCAAGACGCCUGAGAAUCCCGCCCGGACCAGUUUACCUGAAUCCAGUUCAUGUUAUCUUUGUGCAACCUUUAAUAAACUCUGUUGAACUUUUUA